Molecule: ribosomal RNA, 248 nt
Filed under: uncultured Blautia sp.
Lineage: Bacteria; Bacillati; Bacillota; Clostridia; Lachnospirales; Lachnospiraceae
Description: partial 16S ribosomal RNA
Rfam family: Bacterial small subunit ribosomal RNA
Source: RNAcentral
UACGUAGGGGGCAGGCGUUAUCCGGAUUUACUGGGUGUAAAGGGAGCGUAGACGGCAAGGCAAGUCUGAUGUGAAAGGCGGGGGCUCAACUCCUGGACUGCAUUGGAAACUGUCAAGCUAGAGUGUCGGAGGGGUAAGCGGAAUUCCUGGUGUAGCGGUGAAAUGCGCAGAUAUCAGGAGGAACACCGGUGGCGAAGGCGGCUUACUGGACGGCAACUGACGUUGAGGCUCGAAAGCGUGGGGAGCAA